GACGAACGCUGGCGGCGUGCUUAACACAUGCAAGUCGAACGGUGAAGCGCCUUCCUUUUUGGUGGGUGUGGAUGAGCGGCGAACGGGUGAGUAACACGUGAGUAACCUUCCCCCUCCUUCUGGAUAACCGCAUGCAAGUGUGGCUAACACGGGAUAUUCUGGGUCUGUUGCAUGAUGGGUCUGGGACAGUUUUUGUUUCGGUGGGGGAUGGGCUCGCGGCCUAUCAGCUUGUUGGUGGGGUGAUGGCCUACCAAGGCGGUGACGAGUAGCCGGCCUGGGAGGGUGGGCGGUCACGGAGGGGAUGAGACGCGGACAAGACUCCGACGGGCAGCAGCAGGGGAGAAUACGGAACAGGGGGCAGAAGGACGAUGCAGCGACGCCGCGGGGGGGAUGGUGGCCGUAGCGUUGUAAUCCGCUUUCGGCAGAGAAGAAAUGCGGCCGUGUCUGUGGGUGGGUUGACGGUAGCUGGAUAGGAAGCGCCGGCUAACUACGUG
This 494-nucleotide ribosomal RNA is filed under the name uncultured bacterium. RNAcentral describes it as "partial 16S ribosomal RNA". It matches the Rfam family "Bacterial small subunit ribosomal RNA", at positions 28 to 507 of the family's 1533-position model. The record is from RNAcentral.